UCCCUGAGGGCUCUGAAGACUGUUCCUCCCGGAACUUCUGGCUCUGCUGCUGACUUUCUGGGCUUUGCUACCAUGUACCAGCUUGGGGGGCCUCUCCGCUCCCCAUCUUUUCAACUUCCUCCUGGGUGCUGCUCUCCCUCAUUAGACAUGGCUCCGGUAGGAUCAGAUGACGUCAUGCUCACGCAGUAACAGCGCUCUGCAAAUUUUGACGGUGCUACGUAAUUGACAGCUAAUAGCACUUGGACUACUGUGUCAUGAGGCGGCAAGCUGCAGUGAGGCCCUUUGGCCACAAGAGGGAGAGCAGCUCCCACUGCUAUAAUAGCGAGGAAGGUGGGUUUUGGUCCCGCCCCUCAGUGGAGUUUUCAGCGAUGCUCAGUACCUGACUCCCGAUCCUUUGAGGUUUCGUUUUUUUGCAAGGAAAAAAAAGCCUGCAGGGCUCACAGUUCAGAGGGAUUAGUCAGAAGAAAACACCGUUUGCAGAGAAAGACCUCGGCACCGACAAUCUCUCUCCCCCAUCAGAUCUGCGCCUCGCCCCGACCCCACCCCAAAUCUUGCCCCCGCUUCCUCCGCGGAGGCUGCCUCCGCUGCUGUGGUUUUAAGGGGACGAGCUCAGGGAGGCGCGGCGGGGAUCCUCACCCUGAGCAGGCCGGAUUUGGAACUAGGGGCCCCGGUUCGAAUUUGAGCCUUGUCCAGUGAAUUUCCGUUUCCAACCCUCCAAGCUGGACGAAAUGGCUUGAGGGGGCUUUUCCAGCUCCGAAUCUGUGAUCCUUCUCAGAAUCGGGGGCAGGGCUCCGGUAACAACAGGCAACAUUUAGAGAUGGCGCUUUAGGGUCUGUAGAUGAGACAAGAUUUGAACUCAGGUCUUCCUAACACCAAAACCAUCAAUCUAUCCACUGUGCCACCAGCUGGCUCUGUGCCUUUAAAAGCCAGGAGGUCCUAGGGGGCCUUUGGGGCUUGUCAUUCAGCAGUGAGCACGGGAAUGCUUAAGAAAAUGCUGCCUGAUCAUGGAAGGACUGAUGGCUUUAGCUUUAGAGAGCUGACUAGACAGCCACACCUGUGGAGAGCCUCCUGCCCCAGCCUCUGAGCCCCUGGGCAUCUUCCUUCCUGUUUGCGGAGUUGGUAGUGACUGUGGAGGGUUUGGUUUAAGUUAACUGAGGCUCAGGAAGGGCAGAUCAGCUUUGGCCGUGGCACUGAAGAUGGUUCCCUACAAGUAUAAACCCAUUUGACAGUGGGACAGUGGAAAGAGUGGGAGUUGAAAUCAGAAGACUCAGGGCUCAAACCUUGCAUCACCAUUACUACCUUGCAGUCUCAAGCUGUGCAUAAUUUAGAUGGUGUUUCAGCAAGUGUGGUGUACAGGCCAUGGAUGGCAGGAAUGAGGGGGAGAGGGAAAGGAAAGAUAUCAAACCACUGGGGACGUAAAGGACACCAGCUACCACGCCAUCACGGACACCAGCCGCUUCAUGGUGAUGUAAAGAGCAAAGCAACUGUUUUAAGACUGUAAGCUGCUUGAGGAAGAGGGCUGUGUCAUUCAUCUUUGCAUACACAUUGCCUAGCCCUGUGACCUGCAUGUGUAUCACAGAUCUGGGAUUUUUGUCCCAUGAGACCUCUCACCCGUACAAAGAUCCCAGCCCUUCUAAGGCUUAGUCAAUGGACCUUGAGAGUGGAUGCGGCUGGAACAGGUAUCACUCUGUGGCUAGCCUGGAAGCUGAUCAUGGCAUCAUUGGGUCAUAUUCCAGAGUUGGGAGGGUCAUUCGAGCUCCUCCGUUCCUACCGCCUCAUUUUACACAGGAGGAGACUGAGGCUAGGGGGAUCACAGACCUGGCAGGACCUGGGAGGUCAUGCAGCCUCACCCCUUUGUUUGAGGGCUGAGGAAGUGGUAAGGGGCAGCAGUGAUAUCAGAACCCAGCCAUCUGCUUCUCCACUUCAUCAUGUCGGCUUGAGCAGCAGUCAUAACCACAUGUUAGAACCUGUCUGGGCUCAUGCUCUCCUGGAAUAGCCUUCCAGCAACCAGGGUCACAUCCAGGCUCCAGUGAGGCAUUUCAUUAGAGGCUUUGUAUACAGUACAUGCUUAAUGUCUGCUGAAUUAAGUUCGGACUAGAAAGGAGGGACUCUAGGAGAUGGAUAUAGGGGCUGGGAUGGGGCGGGUCCAUUCCAAGCAUGGCUGGGAGGAGAAAUCAAUCAAUCAAUCAACAAGCGUGUAUGAAGCACCUACUGCGGGCCAGACUUUGUUCGAGGCAGUUCCUGUUCUCCAGGAGCUUCCAUUCUACUGGGGGAACAGCCCAUCCAUGGACAGUUACACACAGUCACAAAGGGAGGCACAGACUAAGGUGUGGAGACUGGGGGCGAGGGAGACAAGGCGACACAGGAGAGGGUGGGAAGUAAGGAGUCACCCUGCACUGGGAUAUUGGGGCUUGGAGGACGCAGUUUAAUGGGCAGGAACAAAAGCUAGCUAGCUGCCUUCUACUCCAGUGCCUCAGUUCCUCCUGCAGGUUUUCGGCUUUUUCUUUCGAUCAUGCCUAUAGAGGGAGCAAAUACAUGCGAAGGUUUCUUUGUGGGGUUGGUCACUAUGGAUUCCCGGGCAGCUGGAGGAUGACAUGGACGCUGCUGUCUGCCUGGGGAGCUGCCUGUCCAUUUAUUUCCUCACUUAUUCAUUCAACAAACUACGGGCCAGGCACUACGACAGGAGCUAAGAUGCAUCUCAGCCCUCGAAAGCUUCAGUCUGGUAAGGGUGAGAGGAAGACAAGGGUACACAGAACCAUGAGGCAAGAUGGUAAGUAUGUGAAAAGACAGAGGAGAUGGCUGCUAGCCAGAGGGAGCAUGGGAAGGAAGCUCCAUGGAGCUAGGCCUUGAAGGAUGGGCAGGAAGAACACUAGCUCAAGAGUCAGACGACCUGGAUUCAAUGCUUACUGCCUAGGCGACCCUUGGGCAAGCAAAUCACUUAAGCUUUCUGUGACUUGGUUUCCCCAUCUUGAAAGCAAAAACAUUGGACUGAAUGGACUCUGAGGUCCCUGGGACUGUAGAAGGCCUUGAAUGCCAAAUUGAGGGAAAUGGACUUUAUUCAGUAGGGGAGGGAAGAGAAGAAGGAAGAAAAGAAGGGGGGAAGAGGGAAGGAGGAGAAAGGAAAGAG
Molecule: non-coding RNA, 3127 nt
Organism: Phascolarctos cinereus (koala)
Lineage: Eukaryota; Metazoa; Chordata; Mammalia; Diprotodontia; Phascolarctidae
Source: RefSeq, a predicted model, not a curated record